UGGGUUUGACUUGAAGAGUCGCCACAUAAUGAUUAGGGUGCAUUAGGACACCAAGGAGAUUUGAUUUGAAUGACCAGAUAUUGGGUAAGGGCUUGAAAUUGUUCCAAUGGGAAGGUGUUAGGCACCCAUCAGAAUACACUAGUGUGGUUCCGGCCAGACCAUUAUUGUGAAUUUAUGUGCAAAUAACAUGUACGAAGAUAAAAACUUAAAAUAAGAGGGGAUUUUCACAUAAUGGUUUUACAAAUAAACAAAGUUGGAAAUAAUUUAAAAAAAGCUGAUUUUUCUUAGAAGAAAGAGUUAAAAAAAUUUAAAAGAACAAAGAAAUAAAGGGAAGGGGGUCCUAGGUUUAUUAACAACAUGAAUCACCCUACAUAAUAUCCGGUAAUGACUCCUCAAUGAGGGGCUACACGUGACAUUAUCGUGUGGUCAUCAUAUCCAUUCUAUCAUUCCCUCCCUGUUAAGGUAUUAAAGUGUGGAAUGGUCUCGUUUACUUAUCGCAUGCUAUUACCCCUCCCAAUCCUAUCAGUUCCGGAAUCAUUUGAGACUAAUAAUCCUAAAGGGGAUGGAUAUUAGGCUAUUUUCUUUUUUAAAGGCGAAAAUUUUAAGUCGACAUACAAAACAUGUAUAGCAAGUUGGGGAAAGCACAUAACAAGCAGAGGCUCAAAUAUACCUCCUUGACAAAGUAGCACGUAAUUAGCAUGACUUACACGUACUGGUUAAGGUCUGAUUAAAUACUGAACAUGAAAGAGCUUAAAGGUUGAGGCGGACUGAUUUAUUUCAUAAUUCAGAUAAGAAGCCCCAACCAGGCCUGCCUGUUGGUUGCAGUUAAUAGAAUCGAUUCAGUUUAUAAUUUUACCCUAAGGCUUGCCUAAGUAUCGGACAAGGAUCUUAUAGGCAUGGUAUCUAUUGAAUUUAGAAAGCAAUGAAAUAACAAAGUCUAAAAUAAACUAAAUACGUAAUGGUUGAAAGGGGUAGUCAGAUUAUUAAAGGAAAGGCAAGUUUUUAUGAGGGAUAUAAGUUCUAUAACUGAUAGUACCCAUAAUUACUGAUUUAAUCUCGAUACAUGGAUAAAGCGAUUCAGAUUCGAUUAGGAGUUCCUAUAGACAUGCUUUCUACGCGUAGUUGAUUCUGAACCUUGUAUACAUGGUAUAAAAUGCAGAAGACUCGUUUUAAAACUUAUGAACAUGAUAUCUAGAUGCAGAAAAUUGUUUAAUACCUAUGAGCAUGAUGUCUAGGUGUAGAAAUUUGUUGAAGACCUAUGGACAUUAUAUCUAGGUGCAAAAUUUGUUUAAAACCUAUGGACAUGAUAUCUAGGUGUAAUUGAAUAUGCAGAUUUGGACAAUUUUGUAGGCAUGAUUUCUAUAUGAAUAUAUUAUUCCUAUGAUCAUGAUUUCUAUAUGAGAAUAGAUACACAGGAUUCAGAAGGACAUAUAGGCAUGAUUUUUAUAUGCAUGCAGAUUUAAAACACCUAUAGGCGAGAUUUCUAUAUGCUUUUGAAUGUGCAGAAUUUGAAAUACCUAUUGACAUGCUUUCUACCUUUUGCAUACAUAAUUACCCACCCCUUUUUACUAACCAUCCCCAAGAGUUUAUUACAAAUUAUUACAUCCCGUCAUAAAGUAAAAAAAUACAUCAUAAAAAAAUAAAUAAAAGUACAACCAAGGAAAGCCUAAUUCAGACUUCAUGUUUGCAAUAUGGGGUAAACCAACUCCAAGAGAUCAUGAUCCAAACUUUUCUCCCUUUUUGAGUGUGUCAAAGUUCCCUAAAAGCCUCAAUGGGACUCCGGGCAAUGCUCACACCCAAAUGUGCUAUUAGAACACGACAAGUGCAGUAUGGAAGGGACAACCCUCAAGUGUCCAAGUUCAGAGAGAGCUCAAAGGAACCCAAGGCAAGGCUCAAGAGGGGGGGCAGAACUUAGAGACUAAGAAGAUGUGCAAGUGAAGAACAGAAUACUAAAAAGGGAAAAGGAGAGGAAAACAGCCAUAAAUAAGCACAUAUAAGGGGGUUCGGGGGAAUUGGGAGAUUGUAAAGAGCCCAUUGCUUAGGAAAGGGCAGGCCUUAGGUAUGCCCAACAAUGGAGAGUGCUAGCAUGCCUAUAAGCCUUCUAGAACACACAUUAUUAGAGGCUAGGAUCCCAGGGGAUUAAGUUUGAGUCAUGGAAAAUAAUUCGUAGUAUUGUCACACCUCAAACCAUAGCUUAAACACAUAGGGGGUUGGGGUUUUGGAUUCAUAAUAGAACAGGCAGAAAGAAACUUCAGCAUGCUAGAAUAAAUGUUGAACUAUAUAGAAGCAUUAAGCAGACAUGGAUAUAAAGAUAUUAAAUAAACACAUUGUUGUGGUGUUGAAAACCUUAAAUCAGGACAUACCAGUUUCAAAGAAGCAAAUAGCGAAAAAGCAGGCAGCAAGACUUGCAAACAGGACACAAUACAAAUAUCAAGAGAAAAUUAUUUUGAGUGUAAGUAUAAGUUCAAAAAGACUAUGAGUGUAGGUGUGUAGAAAACUAAAAGUCUUCGUGUCUUUUGCCAAUGAAAGAUCAGGUAUUUAUAGUGUGAAAAACAAGCAGAAAUAAGGUAAGAAAACAAUUAAGGAACUGGGUAUCAACUAAAAUCAAUCAGUACAAGACUUCAUUUACUUAAGGAAUUCAAUCUUAAAUGGUAAUAAACAAAAAUUAUUUAAGGAAAAAAAUCCAAUAAGCAUCUUGUGCAAAAUAGGCAAUUAGGGGUAACUACAUAGGAGUUUAUAGAGGAAGAGUUUUGAAAUACACGGUUAAAACAAAAUAUGGUAAGAAUCAAUUAUUACACAGUAAAUCAAAGAGCCAGAGGUUUGUAAUCAUUUGUCCCUGAAUGAACCAAGUGAGAAAAGCUAAGGAAAUUCUUCGACUAAGACCAAGUAACAGGGAAAUCAGCAAACAAGGAAAGAAAUCAGUCAGACUUACACAAAGGAAGUCUAAAUCAUUCAAAAGAAAUUGAAAGUCAUUUAGAUGGGAAGUUCAACACAAAUAAAGAGUACUCAAGUAUUAGGCAUGCGAGGCUGAAUUUAUGACAAAGAAAAAGUGUCAUGCAAUUGCAAAAUCGGUAAGUAGUAGACUAUAGGGACAUGGUAAUCACAGGGUUAAUCAGUAAUGGAGAAGAGAGAGUAUCAAAUAGCAUAUAAAGGGUCCAGUAUAAAGACCUUAAAAAAGUUUAGUAGGGAAUCAGAAUCGUUAAAAGAAUAAAAUGUUGAAACAAAGAUUUUGAAACUUCAUUAAGCAAUAGAUGAAACAUCUUCAGAAACUCGAAAUAGGUCCAAAUAAGUUAGGGUUUUGAAAUCAAUCGACUUCAGAGAUAAAGAGCAAGCAAAUCACGUAGCCAAUGGUCUCAAAACUCGGAUGAACCCUCAAAUUCUAGGGAUUUUACCAUUAGUUGUGUAUAGAGACGAAAAUAAGUAAAUCACGCAGAAAUACUAACGAAACAAGUUCAAAGGUAUCAAAAGGAGGUGAGGCCUUUAACAUGCAUCUUUUAGUAGGAGAAACUAAUAAGAAAUAUAGUAGAAGAAUAGCAUGCGAAAUACAAUAGAGGAAUUCAUAAGAAUAUUAGAAGAAAUACAUAGGAAACACAAUAGAAGAAACAUAUAAAGAAACGCAGUAGAAGAGAUUAAUAAGAAACAUAGUAGAAGAAACACACAAGGAAAGUCAAUAGAAGAAACUAAUAAGAAACAUAGUAGAAGAAAUACACAAGAGAAAAAGAAAAUGGGAUAAGUAUAUAAAUAACUUAUCAAAAACCCAAAUCAGGAAAAAUAAAGGUUUUGAAAGCAUAGUUUAUUGAAAGAAAUCUUGAGAAACCAUUUAAAAACUCAGGAAAAGUACGGAUCUAGAACGAUUCUAAAAAAAUUUGAAGAACCUCAAAAGCUAGGGUUUUUUAGGGAACUCCAAUGGUGAGAAAGGCUUGGAUAGUCGUUGAUCUAAGUAGGAGGAGUCGAGGUCAGGCUCGAACAACUAUGGUUUGUCGGAGCAAGG
This 3991-nucleotide long non-coding RNA is filed under the name Nicotiana benthamiana. RNAcentral's name for it is "long non-coding RNA (NBEN_LNC009612)". Lineage: Eukaryota; Viridiplantae; Streptophyta; Magnoliopsida; Solanales; Solanaceae. The record is from RNAcentral.